Molecule: ribosomal RNA, 497 nt
Filed under: uncultured bacterium
Lineage: Bacteria
Description: partial 16S ribosomal RNA
Rfam family: Bacterial small subunit ribosomal RNA
Source: RNAcentral
GAUGAACGCUGGCGGCGUGCCUAAUACAUGCAAGUCGAGCGAACAGACGAGGAGCUUGCUCCUCUGACGUUAGCGGCGGACGGGUGAGUAACACGUGGAUAACCUACCUAUAAGACUGGGAUAACUUCGGGAAACCGGAGCUAAUACCGGAUAAUAUAUUGAACCGCAUGGUUCAAUAGUGAAAGACGGUUUUGCUGUCACUUAUAGAUGGAUCCGCGCCGCAUUAGCUAGUUGGUAAGGUAACGGCUUACCAAGGCAACGAUGCGUAGCCGACCUGAGAGGGUGAUCGGCCACACUGGAACUGAGACACGGUCCAGACUCCUACGGGAGGCAGCAGUAGGGAAUCUUCCGCAAUGGGCGAAAGCUUGACGGAGCAACGCCGCGUGAGCGAUGAAGGUCUUCGGAUCGUAAAACUCUGUUAUUAGGGAAGAACAAAUGUGUAGGUAACUAUGCACGUCUUGACGGUACCUAAUCAGAAAGCCACGGCUAACUACGUG